CCGCUGAACUUAAGCAUAUCAAUAAGCGGAGGAAAAGAAACCAACCGGGAUUGCCUCAGUAACGGCGAGUGAAGCGGCAAGAGCUCAAAUUUGAAAGCUGGCCCCUUCGGGGUCCGCGUUGUAAUUUGCAGAGGAUGCUUCGGGUGCGGCCCCUGUCUAAGUGCCCUGGAACGGGCCGUCAGAGAGGGUGAGAAUCCCGUCUUGGGCAGGGUGCCCGUGCCCGUGUGAAGCUCCUUCGACGAGUCGAGUUGUUUGGGAAUGCAGCUCUAAAUGGGUGGUAAAUUUCAUCUAAAGCUAAAUACCGGCCGGAGACCGAUAGCGCACAAGUAGAGUGAUCGAAAGAUGAAAAGCACUUUGAAAAGAGAGUUAAACAGCACGUGAAAUUGUUGAAAGGGAAGCGCUUGCGACCAGACUCGGCCCCGGGGUUCAGCCAGCACUCGUGCUGGUGUACUUCCCCGGGGGCGGGCCAGCGUCGGUUUGGGCGGCCGGUCAAAGGCCCCAGGAAUGUAUCGCCCUCCGGGGUUGUCUUAUAGCCUGGGGUGCAAUGCGGCCAGCCCGGACCGAGGAACGCGCUUCGGCACGGACGCUGGCGUAAUGGUCGCAAACGACC
This 610-nucleotide ribosomal RNA is filed under the name Aspergillus quadrilineatus. Its description in RNAcentral is "eukaryotic LSU rRNA". It matches the Rfam family "Eukaryotic large subunit ribosomal RNA", at positions 25 to 649 of the family's 3401-position model. Lineage: Eukaryota; Fungi; Ascomycota; Eurotiomycetes; Eurotiales; Aspergillaceae. The record is from RNAcentral.